Molecule: non-coding RNA, 119 nt
Organism: Acidobacteria bacterium 13_2_20CM_58_27
Lineage: Bacteria; Pseudomonadati; Acidobacteriota
Source: Rfam
GAGGGAAGGCCCCUCGGGAUCGGCUUUCAGGAGCAGGUCUCAAACCGCCCCAAGCUGCUGUGGUAAAGAGCCAUGGUGGUGAGCGUUGGAGGAAAAGCGCGAGUACAACUCGUGCAGGU